Molecule: unclassified non-coding RNA, 367 nt
Filed under: Hevea brasiliensis (rubber tree)
Lineage: Eukaryota; Viridiplantae; Streptophyta; Magnoliopsida; Malpighiales; Euphorbiaceae
Source: RNAcentral
ACUAGCUUGGUGAUCUUUUAAAGAAGGUUCCGGGUGUUGCGUAGGAGCAGCAGCUGGCUCAACUGGUGGAGCAGGUGGAGUUUCAACAACUUGAUCAGAUUCUAGAACCUUUUCACCUUCCUUUGGUAACUCACUUUCAGCUUCUACAACCUUGUUACCAUCAAGUUCAGUAGGUACAUCAGCUGUAGGACCAAUUUCAGGUUCAAGAACCUGGUCACUAGCAUGCUCAUCAUGGGCAUCCACUACAGGUUCAAGUUCAGCUUCAGCAACUUGACCACUUUCACAUGCCAUAUCAGCAGGAGACUCUUCAACUUUGUUGCUCUCUUCUUUAUCAGCAGAAACCUGAGUAGCAGCCUCAACUUUAGUU